RNAcentral lists this ribosomal RNA (254 nucleotides) under uncultured bacterium. RNAcentral's name for it is "partial 16S ribosomal RNA". It matches the Rfam family "Bacterial small subunit ribosomal RNA", at positions 524 to 776 of the family's 1533-position model. The record is from RNAcentral.
UACGUAGGGGGGCAAGCGUUGUCCGGAAUCAUUGGGCGUAAAGCGCGUGUAGGCGGCUUGGUAAGUCUGCUCUGAAAGCCCGGGGCUCAACCCCGGGAGGCGGGUGGAUACUGUCAAGCUCGAGUCCGGAAGAGGAGUGUGGAAUUCCCAGUGUAGCGGUGAACUGCGUAGAUAUUGGGAGGAACACCAGUGGCGAAGGCGGCUCACUGGACCGGUACUGACGCUGAGGCGCGAAAGCGUGGGGAGCAAACGGG